RNAcentral lists this long non-coding RNA (1005 nucleotides) under Danio rerio (zebrafish). RNAcentral's name for it is "lncRNA (ENSDARG00000117538.1)". Lineage: Eukaryota; Metazoa; Chordata; Actinopteri; Cypriniformes; Danionidae. The record is from RNAcentral.
UAAUUAAUUAUAAUAAUAAUAAUAUAGUUGUUUUAUAUUCAGAUCAUACUACACAAAACUAUUAUAAUUUAAAUAGAAAUAAAUUAUAAGUAUUAUAAAUAAUUAAAUAUUAGUUGAAAAUCUUAGAACCUAAUGAUCUAAGCCUAAGUAGUAAUAAAAGCAGAAAACAAUCCCCAAUAAAAAUCACAAAAACAUAAUUAAUAAAUACAUAAAAAUUUUAUUAUUUUUAAAGAAAUGAUGUUUACACAACCAUAAAGUACCCCUGUCUCCAAGCAAUGCACUAUCUUUAUCUAAUUAUUGCUUAUUAUUGAGUUAUAGGAAAAGACUUUCUCAGAAGUCAGAUAAUUGAUUGUAUUCAUAAUGAUGUCCAUGCAUUAUUCAUGACAGGAAAUCCUGCACUACCAAAUCCAUCAGGCAGGCAGGAGGACAGACUCCGCCCACUGCAGUCCGUCUGGCCAAUGAGAGUGCAGCUGAGAGUGUAGAGGUGAUGAUGCCCAUGAUGAGAGAUCAUUUCAUCGAUGCAAAGGGUGGAACAAAUCUGAUCAUUAACAGUUAUGGGCCCGUGAAGCCUACCAUUGAGAAGAAGAGAAGAAAGAGAUGGAGUUUCUUUAAGAAAAAUGAAAAGGAGGUGAAGAAAGUCUCCAGUCCAGCAUAUUCCUAUCAUCCUGGCACCACCCUGCUGUGCUACACAGAAACGUCUCCAGAAAACCCACCGACAACUCUGCAGGGUCUGUUUGGGCCAUCAGGUGGCGACAGCGAGGGCUCGCAUUCCAGCGAGGGCAGCCAUGAAACCAGCGACUCGGGACGAUACUCUCAUGACGAUACAGAAGCAACAAACGUGUCUAUCAGAAGUCGCCCUGCUUCCCUACAGGACGAUGGGAACCAAACGCCUGUUCACGAAAAACAGCUAGAAACUACACUUCAGGAACAGGAAAUGACAGAUCUACAUCCUGUUUAACCAAAAAACUACAAGAUCUACAUCCUGUUUAACCAAAAAGCUACAAG